This 114-nucleotide ribosomal RNA is filed under the name uncultured bacterium. Its description in RNAcentral is "partial 16S ribosomal RNA". It matches the Rfam family "Bacterial small subunit ribosomal RNA", at positions 1369 to 1482 of the family's 1533-position model. The record is from RNAcentral.
CGUUCCCGGGUCUUGUACACACCGCCCGUCACACCACGAGAGUUUACAACACCCGAAGCCGGUGGGGUAACCGCAAGGAGCCAGCCGUCGAAGGUGGGGUAGAUGAUUGGGGUG